This is a long non-coding RNA of Hippocampus comes (tiger tail seahorse), 176 nucleotides long. RefSeq lists it as uncharacterized. The record is from RefSeq and is a predicted model, not a curated record. Lineage: Eukaryota; Metazoa; Chordata; Actinopteri; Syngnathiformes; Syngnathidae. The transcript is spliced from 2 exons.
UGGUCCUCUUGAGUUAAAUCCCUUUUGUUUCACCUUCGAAAGCAAUGGCUUUUCACUCAACAUUUCAUUGAGCUGAUGUCACAGUUGUUCACUGUACGCCGUCAAGAAGACCGUAAUAAAGGAGCAAGACGCUCAGUUUCCUGGCUCAUGAAUAAAUGAGUUUGGCUUGCUGUUGA